This 512-nucleotide ribosomal RNA is filed under the name uncultured bacterium. Its description in RNAcentral is "partial 16S ribosomal RNA". It matches the Rfam family "Bacterial small subunit ribosomal RNA", at positions 28 to 523 of the family's 1533-position model. The record is from RNAcentral.
GAUGAACGCUGGCGGCGUGCCUAAUACAUGCAAGUCGAGCGAAUGACGAGGAGCUUGCUCCUCUGAUUUAGCGGCGGACGGGUGAGUAACACGUGGGUAACCUGCCUGUAAGACGGGGAUAACUCCGGGAAACCGGAGCUAAUACCGGAUGAUAACGAGAAGCGCCUGCUUCUUUUUUGAACGUCGGUUUCGGCUGACGCUUACAGAUGGGCCCGCGGCGCAUUAGCUAGUUGGUGAGGUAACGGCUAACCAAGGCGACGAUGCGUAGCCGACCUGAGAGGGUGAUCGGCCACACUGGGACUGAGACACGGCCCAGACUCCUACGGGAGGCAGCAGUAGGGAAUCUUCGGCAAUGGACGAAAGUCUGACCGAGCAACGCCGCGUGAGCGAUGAAGGCCUUCGGGUCGUAAAGCUCUGUUGUCAGAGAAGAACAAGUACCGGAGUAACUGCCGGUACCUUGACGGUACCUGACCAGAAAGCCACGGCUAACUACGUGCCAGCAGCCGCCGUAA